GACGAACGCUGGCGGCGUGCCUAACACAUGCAAGUCGAACGGAAAGGCCCUGCUUUUGUGCGCUGCUCGGGUGGCGAAGGGGGGAGUAACACGUGAGUAACCUGCACUUCACUUUGGGAUAACUUAAGGCAACUGGGGCUAAUACCGGAUAGGAGCUCCCGCUGCAGGGUGGGGGGUGGAUAGUUUCGGCGGUUGGGGGUGGACUCGCGGCUUAUCAGCUUGUUGGUGGGGUAGUGGCUUACCAAGGCUUUGACGGAUAGCCGGCCUGGGAGGGGGACCGGCCCCGCUACACCUGGGGUACGGCCCAGCCUCGAAUGGUAGGCGACGGUGGGGAGUAUUAUACAGUAGGAUGGGCGCUGGUCUGACACCGCCACGCCCGGGAAGUCGUGCUUCGGGUAGGGAACCGAAGCCGCCUGAGACGAGGCGUUAGUGACGGUACCGGGAGAAUAAGCACCGGCUAACUACGUG
Molecule: ribosomal RNA, 468 nt
Filed under: uncultured bacterium
Lineage: Bacteria
Description: partial 16S ribosomal RNA
Rfam family: Bacterial small subunit ribosomal RNA
Source: RNAcentral